UUAGAAUUGGAUUAAGAUAAGACAACUUUGUUCUCACUGCACUAGCCGUUCUGUCGAAAAUGACCUUAAAAGUGAGCGUUUUUCUCUUGCUGGUUAUAAUUGCCGUCUCUAUGUGUUCACAAACGCUUGCAUUUACAGCUGGAGCGGGGAACAUCCAUGUCAACGGUAACGGUAAACGAGGCGCUAAUAACAUUCAGGCUACCUAUCACCUCCGCCAAUUUUGUGCGACUGCGCAGUCCACCUGCCCAUCCUUGAGAAAAAAAGAUACCACUUUCCUCACGAUGGACCAAUCUAAAGAACAGUAGAGGGACGACGAAACUUCAAGUUACCUUCUGAGCGAAUUUUGUAGAAGACAGCGAUCAAACCAGGAUCAUGAAUAUUCAACUUUACCGUAAUUGUAGUGUUGUAGAAAAUCAGGACUGUAGAUCAGUAACUGAAAGAUAAUUUAUUUCACAGGCUGUAAAGAGGAUACUGAAAUAAACAUUAUGAGCAACCGAAAA
Stylophora pistillata is the source of this 500-nucleotide long non-coding RNA. RefSeq lists it as uncharacterized. NCBI's taxonomy places the organism in Eukaryota, Metazoa, Cnidaria, Anthozoa, Scleractinia, Pocilloporidae. The record is from RefSeq and is a predicted model, not a curated record.